Molecule: ribosomal RNA, 482 nt
Filed under: uncultured bacterium
Lineage: Bacteria
Description: bacterial SSU rRNA
Rfam family: Bacterial small subunit ribosomal RNA
Source: RNAcentral
UUGAACGCUGGCGGCAUGCCUUACACAUGCAAGUCGAACGGCAGCACGGGAGCAAUCCUGGUGGCUAGUGGCGAACGGGUGAGUAAUAUAUCGGAACGUGCCCAGUCGUGGGGGAUAACGCAGCGAAAGCUGUGCUAAUACCGCAUACGAUCUCUGGAUGAAAGCGGGGGACCGAAAGGCCUCGCGCGAUUGGAGCGGCCGAUGUCAGAUUAGCUAGUUGGUGGGGUAAAGGCCCACCAAGGCAACGAUCUGUAGCGGGUCUGAGAGGACGACCAGCCACACUGGGACUGAGACACGGCCCAGACUCCUACGGGAGGCAGCAGUGGGGAAUUUUGGACAAUGGGCGCAAGCCUGAUCCAGCAAUGCCGCGUGCAGGAAGAAGGCCUUCGGGUCGUAAACUGCUUUUGUACGGAACGAAAAGGUCUGGGUUAAUACCCUGGGCCCAUGACGGUACCGUAAGAAUAAGCACCGGCUAACUACGU